This is a long non-coding RNA of Leptidea sinapis, 1259 nucleotides long. RefSeq lists it as uncharacterized. NCBI's taxonomy places the organism in Eukaryota, Metazoa, Arthropoda, Insecta, Lepidoptera, Pieridae. The transcript has 3 exons. The record is from RefSeq and is a predicted model, not a curated record.
CUGCUGAAGUGAGCGCGGGAUGUUUUCAGCAUUCUUAUAAAUAUCCAAGAGGCAGUCUAUCAAUGUAAAUCUUUGAAGAUUAUAUUGGGGACAGUCAAAGAAAAUGUGAUCAAGAGUUUGGAUGGAUAAAUAACAGAAUUGACAAGUUGGAGAAUCUAAAACACCGAUCCUAAAUAAAUGAGCACCACUACGAGAAUGUCCCAGACGUAACCGACAAAUUGUGGUGUAAAAUUUUCUGUGGACAUUUAAGGAUAGAAGAAUGGAUGAUAAUUGUUCUAAAUCAACAUUAUUAAAUGCUCCUACAACAUCCAAAAAAACACCAGCCAAUAUCUUAUUAAUAAAUGCCGUAUACUCUCACAAGCAGAACAACCACAUCGAAAUCCAAAUUGAUUAUUAGAUUACUGUGUGGAGGAAUGUUGGAUGGAAUUGAAGAAGAUUCAGUUUCCGACACUACCAUGGAAAAUUUUGUGAUUGUAGAUAAGUGAUAGCUGCCCAAAGAGUCCUGAUGAACUUGCCAUUCACAGCACAGGAAUAAUGAAGAUGAUACUAUUGUUAGAUCUAGUCCAUUUGGUCUCCAAGAAUUAGUACCCACUGUAGUUGGUUAAUCAUUAUUUAAGAGCAUUAAGUCAUUAUCGUCCAUUACAUCCAUGAUGUCUCUACCUCUAGAAUUGGUUCUACAAUUGGUUACAACCCCAAAUGGUAUGGUGAGCAUUAAAAUCACCAGCAAUUAUUAGUGGUUUUGGAAUACUAUGCAAGUCUAUUAAAUUUAGAUUUGUCAAAGUUAGGUACACUGUUGCCAGGACUAUAAAAGCUAACAAUUGAUAUGUCUUUUUGUUUGUAUUUAAUUUUGAUUGCUACAUUUUGCAAGGAGUUAUCAGAAAAUGUUUCUAACUUUUGAAAAUAAAUGCCAUUUCUAACAAAAAUUGCUACACCAUUGUGAUCAUUACCACAAUCAUUUCUUAGUAUUGUAUCAACAGACUUUGAGCAUUCCGCUGUACUAUGUUAAGUUUGUGACAGUUGAAUGUGACGUUUUAUUUUUAAUUUGUAUGGUAUCUUUAAUAGCUGAACUAAUUGCGUGUGAGCUAAUGCUUUGAUUCUGUGUUUUAUUUAGUGUAAUGACUUUGAUUAUUGAUUCUGUGAUUAGGUUCAUUGCUGCUGGAUUGGAUAAAAUUAAAUUAAUGAUGUCUUGUGUGUUCUCUGUCUUAUUGAGUGAUGGAAAGUUUGUUGGAUGUUUAAAUAAAUCUGAUAAUGGUGUUUUA